CCCCUCCCCCACGGCUCCUUUCCCCCAACAUUAUGACCCCUCCCCCACGGCUCCCUUUCCCCACCUCAAACGUUCAUUGUGGCCUAGGUGUUAUUUGUAUUUGAGUAAACCGAUAUUGAAGUAAAAAGGGUUAUGAUCUCACCAAUGCUAAGCUAAAUGUUGCUAACCUCUUCGUCUUCACUUUCUCACGUCAUUGAGUUUCUGCACAGAUUUAAAAACCUCCUCACCGAUGAGCACCUUUUUAUAUUUACUCUUCUUUGUAAAGUUUAACGCUGCCUUUUGAACAAAUGUAAAGCUGCUGUAAGUACGGGGUUCAUCUCGUGUCUUCGAAAACAAAUUUGCAAAUUAAAACGAAAAUUGGUCAGAAAUUAGUUUUUCUUGCAAAAGAUAUUUCAUUUCAGUUUCAAUCGUUUUUCCCACAAAGCAUUUUUUAAAUUGCACAAAAGACCAACAAGUCUUUAAUUUCUGAAAUAUAGAACAUGUUACCUUAACGAUUUUUCUGUGAUUAAAUCCCCGCUCUGAAUUACCUGUAAUCUCUCCUCGUUAACCUGACCAGGUGUCUCCCUCUCCUCGUUAACCUGGCCAGGUGUCUCCCUCUCCUCGUUAACCUGGCCAGGUGUCUCCCUCUCCUCGUUAACCUGACCAGGUGUCUCCCUCUCCUCGUUAACCUGACCAGGUGUUUUCCAUCCAGAAGUUUCAGCUAAAUAAAAUCUAUUUAUUGAUUUAGUAUUUAUUAGACGUAUGACAGCGGCCCGUCGCCCGAGCGUCUCCAAACUAUUCCACUAAAUGUUUUUUAUUCACUCGCCUGCUGAAUAUUUUUUUUGUACGUUUUUAUAUUGAGUUUUUCUACAAAGCUGUUAAAUCUGUGCUUUAUUAUCUAAAUUGUGCGAUGGAAGCAGACGGAUAUUAAAGAUGAUGACUUUCUGUAUGAACACACUUUUAUACGAACAAGAACACAUGAAGACAUUCGAGUUUAACAUAUUUGUAUUUAUUGUUUGAAAAAAUAAAAUAAAGAAGCUGUUUUAUACA
Long non-coding RNA from Notothenia coriiceps (black rockcod), 1029 nucleotides. RefSeq lists it as uncharacterized. The transcript has 2 exons. Lineage: Eukaryota; Metazoa; Chordata; Actinopteri; Perciformes; Nototheniidae. The record is from RefSeq and is a predicted model, not a curated record.